GCCGGGUAUGGGGACGCAUGCCUGUAAUCCCAGAGACUCGGGAGGCUGAGGCAAGAGGAUCACAAGUUUGAGGCCAGCUGGGGCAAGUUAGCAAGACCCUGUCUCAA
RNAcentral lists this small RNA (107 nucleotides) under Marmota monax (woodchuck). Lineage: Eukaryota; Metazoa; Chordata; Mammalia; Rodentia; Sciuridae. The record is from RNAcentral.